RNAcentral lists this long non-coding RNA (202 nucleotides) under Elaeis guineensis (African oil palm). RNAcentral's name for it is "long non-coding RNA (EGUI_LNC066640)". The record is from RNAcentral. Lineage: Eukaryota; Viridiplantae; Streptophyta; Magnoliopsida; Arecales; Arecaceae.
GCUAGUUUUUAGUAUCUGAUAGCAGCACAUAGCAAAGAGAAACUCUAGAGAAGAGGAUAAGAUGAAGAUCAAAGAAAGAGAUCAAGUGUUGAUUGAAUUCAGGCUUCGUUCAAAUUCAACAGGUUAAAUUUUUGGAGAAGAAAAUUCAGAUUGAAGAGGGCUGUUCCAGGCUGAUCCUGAGUGGAUACUCAUAGAGACUAGA